GCUCGGUGGCAAGCCCUGUAGUACCAGCUAGCAGGCAGGAGGAUCACUUGACCCCAGGAGUUCUGGGCUGUAAAGCAUUAUGCUGAUGGGUGUCCACACCAAGUUCAGCAUCGAUAUGGUGACCUCCUAGGAGUGGGAGACCACCAGGUUGACUAAGGAAGGGUGAACUAGCCCAGGUCAGAAUGGAACAGAUUGAAACUCUGGUGCUGAUCAUGGUGGGAUUGGCCACACAAGCCUGACAACACCAGGACACCUUGUCUCUUUAGUUUUAUUUUUUUU
Molecule: signal recognition particle RNA, 279 nt
Filed under: Pongo abelii (Sumatran orangutan)
Lineage: Eukaryota; Metazoa; Chordata; Mammalia; Primates; Hominidae
Rfam family: Metazoan signal recognition particle RNA
About the family: The signal recognition particle (SRP) is a universally conserved ribonucleoprotein. It is involved in the co-translational targeting of proteins to membranes. The eukaryotic SRP consists of a 300-nucleotide 7S RNA and six proteins: SRPs 72, 68, 54, 19, 14, and 9.
Source: RNAcentral